This 357-nucleotide ribosomal RNA is filed under the name uncultured bacterium. RNAcentral describes it as "bacterial SSU rRNA". It matches the Rfam family "Bacterial small subunit ribosomal RNA", at positions 158 to 507 of the family's 1533-position model. The record is from RNAcentral.
CCGGAUUAAUACCGCAGUACGCCCGUACGGGGGAAAGCCGGGGGAUCUUCGGACCUGGCGCUAGUAGAUGAGCCCGCGUGAGAUUAGCUUGUUGGUGGGGUAAUGGCCUACCAAGGCAACGAUCUCUAGCUGGGCUGAGAGGACGAUCAGCCACACUGGGACUGAGACACGGCCCAGACUCCUACGGGAGGCAGCAGUGGGGAAUAUUGGACAAUGGGCGAAAGCCUGAUCCAGCAAUGCCGCGUGUGUGAAGAAGGCCUGAGGGUUGUAAAGCACUUUCAAUCGUGAAGAAAAGUUGCAGGCUAAUACCCUGUGACCUUGACGUUAACGAUACAAGAAGCACCGGCUAACUCCGUG